CCAUACUCCAUACCACCCUGAACACGCCAGAUCUCGUCUGAUCUCGGAAGCUAAGCAGGGUCGGGACUGGUAAGUACUUGGAUGGGAGACCGCCUGGGAAUACCAGGUGCUGUAAGUG
Ribosomal RNA from Gadus morhua (Atlantic cod), 118 nucleotides. Lineage: Eukaryota; Metazoa; Chordata; Actinopteri; Gadiformes; Gadidae. The record is from Ensembl.